GAUGAACGCUGGCGGCGUGCCUAAUACAUGCAAGUCGAGCGAACGGACGAGAAGCUUGCUUCUCUGAUGUUAGCGGCGGACGGGUGAGUAACACGUGGAUAACCUACCUAUAAGACUGGGAUAACUUCGGGAAACCGUAGCUAAUACCGGAUAAUAUUUUGAACCGCAUGGUUCAAAAGUGAAAGACGUUCUUGCUGUCACUUAUAGAUGGAUCCGCGCUGCAUUAGCUAGUUGGUAAGGUAACGGCUUACCAAGGCAACGAUGCAUAGCCGACCUGAGAGGGUGGACGGCCACACUGGAACUGAGACACGGUCCAGACUCCUACGGGAGGCAGCAGUAGGGAAUCUUACGCAAUGGGCGAAAGCCUGACGGAGCAACGCCGCGUGAGUGAUGAAGGUCUUCGGAUCGUAAAACGCUGUUAUUAGGGAAGAACAUAUGUGUAAGUAACUGUGCACAUCUUGACGGUACCUAAUCAGAAAGCCACGGCUAACUACGUG
Molecule: ribosomal RNA, 497 nt
Filed under: uncultured bacterium
Lineage: Bacteria
Description: partial 16S ribosomal RNA
Rfam family: Bacterial small subunit ribosomal RNA
Source: RNAcentral